UAAUAGAACAUAUUCAAUUUGUUUUGCGGUGCGGACAGAUCAUGGACCCAUUCAAGUUGAAUGGGUCUGGCUCCAUCGCGGCCGCCGCACGGAUGGUGCCCGUUCGUUGGGGACCGCAAAUUGCCCUUAAUUUGCUGUACAGUUAGACGCAAAGUUGUUCCCUGCUAGCCAUUCCAGGCAUUAAAAAAAAGGCUGGAUUUAGUGUUCUGCCAUACUCACAUGGCAAAAUAUGGCGCAGAUAGUGUAGAUAAAAUGCUUGUUUUAUGCACUGUUAUACGCUUCAAGAACGCUUGAAAACAGCUUCCUAUUGGGCCAUAGUUCACACGGACAAGUAUUUUUAUGCUGCUGUUUCCCAAAAACACUUCAAGAAUUGGCAUAUUAAGGGGGUCAAUUAUCAAACUGGUGUAUUGUAGAACUGGCUUAGGUGCCCAUAGCAACCAAUCAGAUUCC
This is a long non-coding RNA of Bufo bufo (common toad), 450 nucleotides long. RefSeq lists it as uncharacterized. The transcript has 3 exons. The record is from RefSeq and is a predicted model, not a curated record. NCBI's taxonomy places the organism in Eukaryota, Metazoa, Chordata, Amphibia, Anura, Bufonidae.